RNAcentral lists this ribosomal RNA (503 nucleotides) under uncultured bacterium. Its description in RNAcentral is "partial 16S ribosomal RNA". It matches the Rfam family "Bacterial small subunit ribosomal RNA", at positions 28 to 523 of the family's 1533-position model. The record is from RNAcentral.
GAUGAACGCUAGCGACAGGCUUAACACAUGCAAGUCGAGGGGCAGCAUAAAAGUAGCAAUACUUUGGUGGCGACCGGCGCACGGGUGAGUAACGCGUAUGCAACCUACCUAUCAGAGAGGAAUAACCCGGCGAAAGUCGGACUAAUACCGCAUAAAACAGGGGCACCGCAUGGUGAUAUUUGUUAAAGAAAUUCGCUGAUAGAUGGGCAUGCGUUCCAUUAGGUAGUUGGUGAGGUAACGGCUCACCAAGCCGACGAUGGAUAGGGGAGCUGAGAGGUUGGUCCCCCACACUGGUACUGAGACACGGACCAGACUCCUACGGGAGGCAGCAGUGAGGAAUAUUGGUCAAUGGGCGAGAGCCUGAACCAGCCAAGUCGCGUGAAGGAAGAAGGAUCUAUGGUUCGUAAACUUCUUUUGCAGGGGAAUAAAGUGCGGGACGUGUCCUGUUUUGUAUGUACCCUGAGAAUAAGGAUCGGCUAACUCCGUGCCAGCCGCCGCUGUAA